Non-coding RNA from Nycticebus coucang (slow loris), 568 nucleotides. Lineage: Eukaryota; Metazoa; Chordata; Mammalia; Primates; Lorisidae. The record is from the annotation of a RefSeq genome assembly.
GGCAGCAGCCCCUGACUCGGCCUCAUUUGCAUCCUGGGCAGCUCUCUCCACCAGGGGAUAAAACAGGCCUGGGAGGCCCCUGCCCAGCCCGGGCCUCGGAAGCAACCUAGAGGGUAUCUCCACCAUGGCCUGGACCCCUCUCCUCCUCAGCCUUCUGGCUCACUGCACAGGGUCUGUGGCCUCGUAUGUGCUCACGCAGCCACCCUCGGUGUCAGUGGCCCUGGGACAGCCAGCCAGGAUCACUUUCGGGGGAAACAAUACUGGUAGCAAAGCUGUGCAUUGGUACCAGCAGAAGCCAGGCCAGUCCCCUGUGCUGGUCAUCUAUAGUGAUAGCAACCGGCCCUCAGGAAUCCCUGAGCGAUUCUCAGGCUCCAACUCAGGGAAUACGGCCACCCUGACCAUCAGCGGGGCCCAGGCUGGGGACGAGGCCGACUAUUACUGUCAGGUGUGGGACGGCGACACUGCUCACAGUGACACAGGCAGAUGGGGAAGUGAGACACUAACUCCUGCCCCAUCUGUGUCACUCCUUCACUCCUGCCAAGGAGGAUUGUAGACGCGCCAUGAGCAG